Molecule: ribosomal RNA, 534 nt
Filed under: uncultured bacterium
Lineage: Bacteria
Description: bacterial SSU rRNA
Rfam family: Bacterial small subunit ribosomal RNA
Source: RNAcentral
UGGUCUUGACAUAGUAAGAACUUUCCAGAGAUGGAUUGGUGCCUUCGGGAACUUACAUACAGGUGCUGCAUGGCUGUCGUCAGCUCGUGUCGUGAGAUGUUGGGUUAAGUCCCGCAACGAGCGCAACCCUUUUCCUUAUUUGCCAGCGGGUUAAGCCGGGAACUUUAAGGAUACUGCCAGUGACAAACUGGAGGAAGGCGGGGACGACGUCAAGUCAUCAUGGCCCUUACGACCAGGGCUACACACGUGCUACAAUGGUCGGUACAAAGGGUUGCUACCUAGCGAUAGGAUGCUAAUCUCAAAAAGCCGAUCGUAGUCCGGAUUGGAGUCUGCAACUCGACUCCAUGAAGUCGGAGUCGCUAGUAAUCGCGGAUCAGAAUGCCGCGGUGAAUACGUUCCCGGGCCUUGUACACACCGCCCGUCACACCAUGGGAGUUUGUUGCACCAGAAGUAGGUAGUCUAACCGCAAGGAGGACGCUUACCACGGUGUGGCCGAUGACUGGGGUGAAGUCGUAACAAGGUAGGCGUAGAUGA